CCUUGGUGUUGUGGUAUUUUACAGGUGUUUCCAUCUCCUCCUGUAUGUUGUCCUAUUAACAAAGAGGAGAGAUACUGCAAGUUAACAUCUUGGAAAGCAAAUAAGGUAUUUGCAGUAAGAUGUGCCUUCCUUUUUGGAGUAUGUUAAUGUUGAUGCUCUGCGCAAAAACCUUGGAGGUAGUGAUAGAAGAUCAAGCACGUCAUUCUCGGUGGCAGACAUUAAAAGUGGAAGACGGACAUACCACCUACCACUAUCUGAAGAGACACUCGGACGGAACUUUUACUAAUGACCUGACUAACCAACUAGAUUUGCUAAAGGCUAAAGACUUCGUUGCUUGGCUGGCUAGCACCAAACGUGAGAGUCAACAGAAGCGAGGUCUUCAGGAAGACAGGAUGAAGACUGGGGAACUGGUCACUCUGCUCAAUCAAGCAUGGGAAUGGAGCUAACCACACUCAAAAGUGAAUAUUCCACGUAUAUUCACUAUUCUUGGUCAAUCUUGGUCAGAGUUAAAGUAAUUGUACUGUAGCCUUAUUGUUGCCUAAUGUCGUUGUAUACAGUAUAUGGCUAGAAAAAGUUCCUUUUUAGAUGGGAUAAAGUGGACCCUUGAGGUUCUCCAGAAAAGGUAUGGUGCGACUAAGUGUCCUCUCUAAAUAUUAUCAACAAACUAAAAACAGUUGUUUCGAUUGAGGGCUACCAUCUGAUUUGUAUUGCUUCAUUCUUUCCCUUUUCCAAAAGAUAGAGAAAACACCUAACCUGACUCUCGCCAGAUGUAUUUUGUUCCGCCUAGCUCC
Alosa sapidissima (American shad) is the source of this 791-nucleotide long non-coding RNA. RefSeq lists it as uncharacterized. NCBI's taxonomy places the organism in Eukaryota, Metazoa, Chordata, Actinopteri, Clupeiformes, Clupeidae. The record is from RefSeq and is a predicted model, not a curated record. The transcript is spliced from 4 exons.